This 313-nucleotide long non-coding RNA is filed under the name Manihot esculenta (cassava). Its description in RNAcentral is "long non-coding RNA (MESC_LNC004821)". The record is from RNAcentral. Lineage: Eukaryota; Viridiplantae; Streptophyta; Magnoliopsida; Malpighiales; Euphorbiaceae.
GACCUGCAUGUCUAUAAAUUGUUAUUUUAAAUUAUUAUGUAAUUAAUUCACAAUUCUGACCUUAAUGAUUUUUUUUUUUCAAUGGAAAACAAUAGCGAGCAACAAUUAGCAAGUAAGAGAUAGCCCUUUUCUUUUCCAUUCAUACAGAUGAAUAAUCUCAGCAUAGGUUGAAUAACCUUAGCAAAUUUUUAAACUCCAAGAAACCUUUUUUAAGGGGAUUUAUGCAAGUUUAAAAACUAUAGAGCUCUAUUGAAAGUACUCGUGCAUGUCCACUAUAAUUUAUGUAGAAUAGACCUUAACAAGUCCAGAAACG